RNAcentral lists this ribosomal RNA (465 nucleotides) under uncultured bacterium. Its description in RNAcentral is "partial 16S ribosomal RNA". It matches the Rfam family "Bacterial small subunit ribosomal RNA", at positions 338 to 795 of the family's 1533-position model. The record is from RNAcentral.
CCUACGGGAGACAGCAGUGGGGAAUCUUGCACAAUGGGCGAAAGCCUGACGCAGCGACGCCGCGUGAGGGAUGAAGGUCUUCGGAUCGUAAACCUCUGUCAGCAGGGAAGAACGGUCACUGUGCUAAUCAGCAGUGAAUUGCCGGUACCUUCACAGGAAGCACCGGCUACCUCCGUGCCAGGAGCCGCGGUAAUACGGAGGGUGCGAGCGUUAAUCGGAGUUACUGGGCGUAAAGCGCUCGUAGGCGGUAUGUCAAGUCAAGGGUGAAAGCCCCGGGCUCAACGUGGGAACUGCCUUUGAAACUGGAAAACUGGAGUGUGUGAGAGGAUAGUGGAAUUCUAGGUGUAGGAGUGAAAUCCGUAGAUAUCUGGAGGAACACCAGUGGCGAAGGCGACUAUCUGGAACAUAACUGACGCUGAGGAGCGAAAGCGUGGGUAGCAAACAGGAUUAGAUACCCUUGUAGUC